ACAGAGGUGGCGAGCGUUGUUCGGAUUUACUGGGCGUAAAGGGUGCGUAGGUGGCUUUGUGUGUCGGACGUGAAAUCCCACCGCCUAACGGUGGAACUGCGUUCGAAACUGCAGAGCUUGGAGUGCAGGAGGGGAGAGCGGAAUACUCGGUGUAGCGGUGAAAUGCGUUGAUAUCGAGUAGAACACCGGUGGCGUAGGCGGCUCUCUGGAAUGCAACUGACACUGAGGCACGAAAGUCGGGGGAGCAAACAGGAUUAGAUACCCUGGUAGUCCCGACUGUAAACGGUGUACACUUGGUGUGGGCGGUAUUGACCCCGCCCGUGCCGGAGCUAACGCGUUAAGUGUACCGCCUGGGGAGUACGGCCGCAAGGUUA
This 374-nucleotide ribosomal RNA is filed under the name uncultured bacterium. RNAcentral's name for it is "bacterial SSU rRNA". It matches the Rfam family "Bacterial small subunit ribosomal RNA", at positions 525 to 896 of the family's 1533-position model. The record is from RNAcentral.